This 90-nucleotide transfer RNA is filed under the name Betaproteobacteria bacterium. RNAcentral's name for it is "tRNA-Ser". It matches the Rfam family "tRNA". From Rfam's summary of the family: Transfer RNA (tRNA) molecules are approximately 80 nucleotides in length. Their secondary structure includes four short double-helical elements and three loops (D, anti-codon, and T loops). Further hydrogen bonds mediate the characteristic L-shaped molecular structure. tRNAs have two regions of fundamental functional importance: the anti-codon, which is responsible for specific mRNA codon recognition, and the 3' end, to which the tRNAs corresponding amino acid is attached (by aminoacyl-tRNA synthetases). tRNAs cope with the degeneracy of the genetic code in two manners: having more than one tRNA (with a specific anti-codon) for a particular amino acid; and 'wobble' base-pairing, i.e. permitting non-standard base-pairing at the 3rd anti-codon position. Lineage: Bacteria; Pseudomonadati; Pseudomonadota; Betaproteobacteria. The record is from RNAcentral.
GGAGAGUUGGCAGAGCGGUCGAUUGCACCGGUCUUGAAAACCGGCAGGGGUUCACGCCCCUCGUGAGUUCGAAUCUCACACUCUCCGCCA